AGCCUUUUGUAUCCAUGCUGAGAUUUCGUCAGCGAUCAGCCCGCUGAGGCUGAUGAAGCUUCCCAAAUAAGUGAAGUA
This 78-nucleotide microRNA precursor is filed under the name Trichobilharzia regenti. RNAcentral's name for it is "mir-3492 microRNA precursor family". It matches the Rfam family "mir-3492 microRNA precursor family". Lineage: Eukaryota; Metazoa; Platyhelminthes; Trematoda; Strigeidida; Schistosomatidae. The record is from Rfam by way of RNAcentral.